GACGAACGCUGGCGGCGUGCCUAAUACAUGCAAGUAGAACGCUGAAGGAGGAGCUUGCUUCUCUGGAUGAGUUGCGAACGGGUGAGUAACGCGUAGGUAACCUGCCUGGUAGCGGGGGAUAACUAUUGGAAACGAUAGCUAAUACCGCAUAAGAGUAGAUGUUGCAUGACAUUUGCUUAAAAGGUGCAAUUGCCUCACUACCAGAUGGACCUGCGUUGUAUUAGCUAGUUGGUGGGGUAACGGCUCACCAAGGCGACGAUACAUAGCCGACCUGAGAGGGUGAUCGGCCACACUGGGACUGAGACACGGCCCAGACUCCUACGGGAGGCAGCAGUAGGGAAUCAUCGGCAAUGGACGGAAGUCUGACCGAGCAACGCCGCGUGAGUGAAGAAGGUUUUCGGAUCGUAAAGCUCUGUUGUAAGAGAAGAACGAGUGUGAGAGUGGAAAGUUCACACUGUGACGGUAUCUUACCAGAAAGAGACGGCUAACUACGUG
This 495-nucleotide ribosomal RNA is filed under the name uncultured bacterium. RNAcentral's name for it is "partial 16S ribosomal RNA". It matches the Rfam family "Bacterial small subunit ribosomal RNA", at positions 28 to 507 of the family's 1533-position model. The record is from RNAcentral.